AACGAACGCUGGCGGCAUGCCUAACACAUGCCAGUCGAACGAGACCUUCGGGUCUAGUGGCGCACGGGUGCGUAACGCGUGGGAACCUGCCCUCAGGUUCGGAAUAACUCCCCGAAAGGGGUGCUAAUACCGGAUAAUGUCUUCGGACCAAAGAUUUAUCGCCUUUGGAUGGGCCCGCGUUGGAUUAGCUAGUUGGUAGGGUAAAAGCCUACCAAGGCGACGAUCCAUAGCUGGUCUGAGAGGAUGAUCAGCCACACUGGGACUGAGACACGGCCCAGACUCCUACGGGAGGCAGCAGUGGGGAAUAUUGGACAAUGGGCGAAAGCCUGAUCCAGCAAUGCCGCGUGAGUGAUGAAGGCCUUAGGGUUGUAAAGCUCUUUUACCCGGGAUGAUAAUGACAGUACCGGGAGAAUAAGCGCCGGCUAACUCCGUG
This 433-nucleotide ribosomal RNA is filed under the name uncultured bacterium. RNAcentral's name for it is "partial 16S ribosomal RNA". It matches the Rfam family "Bacterial small subunit ribosomal RNA", at positions 29 to 507 of the family's 1533-position model. The record is from RNAcentral.